Molecule: non-coding RNA, 78 nt
Organism: Megalops atlanticus (tarpon)
Lineage: Eukaryota; Metazoa; Chordata; Actinopteri; Elopiformes; Megalopidae
Source: the annotation of a GenBank genome assembly
AGCAGUGUGGCAUAGCGGUAAAGAGCAGGGCUCGUAACCGAAAGGUUGCUGGUUCGAUUCCCCACUGGGCCACUGCUG